Molecule: non-coding RNA, 66 nt
Organism: Podarcis lilfordi (Lilford's wall lizard)
Lineage: Eukaryota; Metazoa; Chordata; Lepidosauria; Squamata; Lacertidae
Source: the annotation of a GenBank genome assembly
GAAGCUCAGGGAAAGAGUAUCUGCUUCGCAUGCAGAGGAUCCCAGGUUCAAUUCCUGGCAACUCCA